GCCUUGUUUAUUCUCGUCCGUCUCUUGUCGUGCUCUAGUCUUGUGUCCUUGUUUGUUUAUGUUGGAUAUGUUUGGUACUGACCCCUGCCUGGACUGUUUAUUCUUUGGAUUGCCCCUAAAUAAAGACGUACUCGCAUUUGGAUCUCUCACUGUGUCUCCUUGUAUCCCGGACGUGACAGAAGGACUCUGUCAACUUGAGAUCCAGCGGUAUGUCUGCUCACGUCUCCUCCCGAGCCACAGAGCGGGAGAGGAGCCGUUUUGAGGGAACUCGCCUGGUGGUCUUCCGGGGAACCAGGGGAGGUCGCCGAGGAGGGAGUGGUCGAGAGGAGGUUCAAUAUCGCUCUCAACCAUGGCCCCCCUUCGACCCUGGGCUCGUGUGUGACGGAUCGGAGCCACUGUCUCACCAUGGCGGACGGAGAGGGGAAAAGAAGCGCAGGUCCGCCAUGGUGGCGCCACUGCCCAUGAUGGCCGCAGGGCCAGCGCCACGAGGCAAGGUGGACGCCAGCCCAGCGCCAAUGCCCAAGAGGGCCGCGGAGACAUUGUUGGAUUACUUUUCCAUGUUGAACCAGAUCUUAGAGAUUCCCAGGAGUGUUCACGUCCCAGCUGCGGAGCCAGCGCCAAUGCCCAAGAUGGCCACCAGCCCAGCGCCACAGCACAAGAGGGCCGCCAGCCCAGCGCCACAGCACAAGAUGGCCGCCAGCCCAGCGCCACAGCACAGGAUGGCCGCCAGCCCAGCGCCACAGCACAAGAUGGCCGAAUCUGCACCUGUGUCGCCAGACAAGAUGGCCGACUCAACGCCUGAGUCUCCAGACAAGGUGACACCGACUCGCCAUCAUAGAGGGCGGAGGAGGAGGGGACAGGCGUCUACCGUUCCUCAAAGCCCGGCGGACGUUCCCGAGCAGCCCGCUGCCGUCCCAGAGGCCGUUCCCGAGCAGCCCGCUGCCGUCCCGGAGGCGGCGCCUGAGGCAGAGGCCGAUACGGGGCCCGAGGCGGUUCUUGAAGCCGAGGCGGUUCCUGAGGCCGUUCCCGAGGCGGUGCCCGAUGCUGAGGCGGUUCCUGAGGCCGUUCCCGAGGCAGUGUCCGAU
This is a long non-coding RNA of Cyprinus carpio carpio, 1085 nucleotides long. Lineage: Eukaryota; Metazoa; Chordata; Actinopteri; Cypriniformes; Cyprinidae. The record is from Ensembl.